Molecule: transfer RNA, 72 nt
Filed under: Naumovozyma castellii
Lineage: Eukaryota; Fungi; Ascomycota; Saccharomycetes; Saccharomycetales; Saccharomycetaceae
Description: tRNA-Pro
Source: RNAcentral
CAGAUAGAAGCCAAAUGGUUCGGCACUUUCUUUGGGUGAAAGAUUUAGUAAGUUCGAGUCUUGCCUAUCUGA